RNAcentral lists this ribosomal RNA (303 nucleotides) under uncultured bacterium. RNAcentral describes it as "bacterial SSU rRNA". It matches the Rfam family "Bacterial small subunit ribosomal RNA", at positions 29 to 316 of the family's 1533-position model. The record is from RNAcentral.
AACGAACGUUAGCGGCGCGCUUAACACAUGCAAGUCGCACGAGAAAGGGCUUCGGCCCCGGUAAAGUGGCGCACGGGUGAGUAACACGUGGACAAUCUUCCCUCGGGCGGGGGAUAACAUUCCGAAAGGAGUGCUAAUACCGCAUAAGACCACGAUUCCGAAAGGAGUUGAGGUAAAGCCGGCCUCUAUAUAUAGCUGGCACCUGAGUUCGAUGAGUCCGCGUCCCAUCAGCUAGGUUGGAGGGUAAUGGCCUACCAAGGCUAAGACGGGUAGCUGGUCUGAGAGGAUGAUCAGCCACACUGG